RNAcentral lists this small nuclear RNA (21 nucleotides) under Arabidopsis thaliana (thale cress). Its description in RNAcentral is "snRNA_02452". Lineage: Eukaryota; Viridiplantae; Streptophyta; Magnoliopsida; Brassicales; Brassicaceae. The record is from RNAcentral.
UUUAGUGUUUAAGAUAAUAUA